CAGCAGCCACGGGAAUACGCAGGGUGCAAGCGUUAAUCGGAAUUACUGGGCGUAAAGCGUGCGCAGGCGGUUUCGUAAGACAGAUGUGAAAUCCCCGGGCUUAACCUGGGAACUGCAUUUGUGACUGCGAGGCUAGAGUGUGUCAGAGGGGGGUGGAAUUCAACGUGUAGCAGUGAAAUGCGUAGAUAUGUGGAGGAACAUCAGUGGCGAAGGCGGCCAUCUGGGACAACACUGACGCUGAGGCACGAAAGCGUGGGGAGCAAACAGGAUUAGAUACCCAAGUAGUCCCUGUCUCUUAUAC
Molecule: ribosomal RNA, 301 nt
Filed under: uncultured bacterium
Lineage: Bacteria
Description: partial 16S ribosomal RNA
Rfam family: Bacterial small subunit ribosomal RNA
Source: RNAcentral